RNAcentral lists this long non-coding RNA (3036 nucleotides) under Cricetulus griseus (Chinese hamster). RNAcentral's name for it is "lncRNA (ENSCGRG00015038076.1)". The record is from RNAcentral. Lineage: Eukaryota; Metazoa; Chordata; Mammalia; Rodentia; Cricetidae.
GGGAAGAGGAAAGACAGAGAUGCAGUUGCCAGCCAGAUGCAGAGGAAACAAGAUGAGAAUGCCUUACUGAGAAAAGUGCAACUGCGAAACUGAACUUCUGACAGCAGAUUCAUGGCCGGGAGAGGAGUCCCCUCCCACACCCAGCAGCCAGCUCUUCAGCAGAAGACUGCCAUAUAACAAAAAAGCCUGAGAAAUUUAGGUGUGUUUGAACUUCAUAGAAGAUGUCUCUCUGAGCCUGGGGUUGGAGUUGCAGCUCUGACUUCCUGGCUAGCAGGUAACCUGGCAAGCCAAUGUCUCCGUCAGUGAGAAUGGUUCUGAAAUGACCCAUGUGCCUCUUGACUUUGCUGAGCCUGGGAAUGCUGUGGUGCUCACAGAGGUAGGAGAAACGGGUGCCGAGACUCUGAAUGGAAGUGCAGCAUCUACAAUCCGGCCUGGCCCUACGUCACCCCUUGUCCUGGCAGCAGCCUCAGAGAGAGUUUAUUGACAAAGGAGAAGGAAGCUCUCAGCUCCCUGAAUUGAGAUGCAAACAUCGUUGAGCUGUUACUCACAAGAAUGUGAUCUCCAUAAGAACAGGAUUGGGCCAAUCAGAUCAGCUGCCAAUGGUGUUCCAUGUGACACCCACCCUUACCUAACUUUCCCCUAGAAGAUCCUGAUCAUGCUUGCUCUGUCAUUAUUGAGCAUGUGCCACCCUCAGCUUCAGUCAAGACUGUUUGUGUUCCAAUAGUAUGAUACAAUGCAGCAGUGGGGCAGAGACAGCGGUGAAGAUGCAUAAAUAGAAGCACAGCCAGAUAAAGUAUUGCUGUGGUACACUGUCUCCAUGAAAAGGUCUCCUUAGUUUGGACUUACAAAGUGAAUGUUUGGGCCUGAGAUUUUGACUGAGGAACCUUCUACUAAAACUGCCCAAGAAGACAGAAUGGAGCCAUGCUGAAAACAACAAAGGACUAUAGUGAUGAAAUUCUAGUGCUUGAAGUGGAAGACCAAAGGCAGAUUUGAAGAAUUUUCCCAAUUAGUGUGUGGAGGUGGUGAAGGAUGUUUCUGAAACAGCUUUCAUUGCUAAUCUUUGUUUCCAAAUCUGUUUCUCAGGGAAACAAGCUUGACCAUUGACUUAUUGAAAAGGGUCUCCUUAUGUAUCCUGGGUUGUACUUGAACCUACAAUGUAACCAGUUUGUCUCUGAACUCACAUUGGUCCUCCUGACUCAGCCUUGUCAGUUUCCUUUGCUGAACUUGUGACUGAGGGAUCAGUGACUUUACCUCCCCUCCUUACUGGAGCCCUUGGGAGUCAGUGGAGCUCAUUUCCAUAUUCCUUACACCAGAGUCUGAAUCAAUUCAGAAACAGUUCCCAAUGGUCAGGAGGGCAGCAUAAGCCUAUUUGUGGAUAUGAGGAGGAGGUCGCUGAGAUCUAACUCGAACUUGUAAUUCUGAACUUCUGAAAACCAUUUGUCCAGUGGUAGUCUGGUUGCAGAGGGAAGCAUUUCUGAAGUAGAUUGGCAGAACACAAGAAGAGAGUGCCUGCCUCCAAGCAUGAGUCCAGUUCUGAGAGAGAUCCUCCAGCAAGAAAGCCUUGCUUCGUGGACUGCCCUUGCUACCACAAAGAGACUGACAGACCUUCCGUUGCCUUUCUCAAUUUCCUUAUAAAGCUCAAUGGCCUUUUGUGAGUCUUGACAACACACAUGACAUGUUAUGCUCUUGAGACCUCUGAGGUAGAAUAUGGUGAGGAGGGAGACUUCCUCCUGAGCUCUUUCAUAAGAGGGAAAGCAGGCAGAGGAAGAGUGGGGGCCACCAGCCAGGGGGAUGCAUAGGUGUGGCACAAUUCCACUGUGAUGGUGUUGUCUCUGGUAGCCUUUGGUAGAUCCCUUCUCUCAGAACUUCUGGGCAUACUGCAUGUAUUUCCACUUGCCCAGAACCAUGAUACUAAGAAAAAUGUUGGGAGCAGAAUGCAGCUUAUAGAACUGUAGCCCCUCGCACGUGCUCUAUGUGACAGAACCCUCGUUUUGUAGGUGUAGUUAUAAAACAUGGUGUCCACAAGCUGAAAGGAAAACAUGCAUACUCUAUGUCCUGGGAAUGUACUGAUGAUUUCACAAGACUAGUCUCAGAAAUGGAGUUCAGUAUAUGUAGAAGGGAAAUCUCUACUUAUUCUGAACUUUUUACAUAGAAGCAUGGGACUGGAUUGGUUGAAAAUCAAAAACAGUGGCCUGGAACUUGGGAGAUGGAAACAGCAACUUCUAAGGUUUUGGAAAUGACCCUGAGAAAUCACUGUCUGCCAGUUCGUAUCCAUUAAAGAAGUUAUCCAUUAAACUAGGGGAAUCCCCCCAUCUCAGUGACUCCCACAUAAAGACCACUGAUGUCUCAAGAAUAAUAGACUGGUUGGCUGAAUUGGUGGCUACAGUUACAGACUCAAUGCAUACACACACACACACACACACACACACACACACACACACACACACGGAGAGAGAAAGAGACAAACAGAGAGAGAAGGGGUGGAAUAUGGCUGAAAAGCAUGAGAUAUCUCCACCUUUCAUUUUAUCAGCUAGUGGCCAGAGAGUUCCUUACCUGGCUUAAUUAUUUUGUUUAUAAACAUUGCCUGAUGAGAGGACUGUUAAAGUGUACCAUUGAGUAAUAUGAUAACCAGAAAUUCAAAAGGUUGACUUGUAAUACUUCACAGGCAAAUUCUUUCCACGAAUAUAAGCUUGCUGCUGCUAAGAAGGGUUUAUGUCUUUAAGACUAUGGAGUAUUAACAAGGACAUUGCUUUUACAUUGAUAUAAAUCAGCACAGAGUGUGAAUUCUACAUUUUGUAGGAAAGUCUGUACAAGAGGAAAUGAAAGGAGAAUAAAGGAAUGGCUUGAGAGGUAAUGACUGGGACUAUGAAAGGUUGCACUGUUAAGGACCCUGAUCUUAUAUUCUCCAGGAUGGUAAAUGAUGUUGACUUGGAACAUGGGAACAACCCUGGACAAUGUCCCCUUUUACAUAAAUGUUAAGGGAAGGGGAAAAAAAGGACACAGCACAAAGGAGGAUUCCAGGAAUAUACAUGGCAA